RNAcentral lists this ribosomal RNA (253 nucleotides) under uncultured bacterium. RNAcentral's name for it is "partial 16S ribosomal RNA". It matches the Rfam family "Bacterial small subunit ribosomal RNA", at positions 524 to 776 of the family's 1533-position model. The record is from RNAcentral.
UACGGGGGGGGCAAGCGUUGUCCGGAAUUACUGGGCGUAAAGAGCUCGUAGGUGGUUUGUCGCGUUGUUCGUGAAAACUCACAGCUCAACUGUGGGCGUGCGGGCGAUACGGGCAGACUUGAGUACUGCAGGGGAGACUGGAAUUCCUGGUGUAGCGGUGGAAUGCGCAGAUAUCAGGAGGAACACCGGUGGCGAAGGCGGGUCUCUGGGCAGUAACUGACGCUGAGGAGCGAAAGCGUGGGGAGCGAACAGG